This is a small nuclear RNA of Phyllostomus discolor (pale spear-nosed bat), 164 nucleotides long. RefSeq annotates it as U1 spliceosomal RNA. The record is from RefSeq and is a predicted model, not a curated record. The transcript has a single exon. Lineage: Eukaryota; Metazoa; Chordata; Mammalia; Chiroptera; Phyllostomidae.
AUAUUUAGCUGUCAGGGGAGGUACCAUGAUUAUGCAAGUUGUUUUCCCAGGGUGAGGUUUAUCCAUUGCACUCUGGAUGUGCUGGCCCCUGUGAUUUCCCCAAAUGUGGGAAACUUGACUGCAUAAUUUGUGGUAGUGGGGGACUGUGUUCGCACUCUCCCCUG